CGUGGUGGUCGGGCGGAAUGGCGCCAGUGGCGCCGGGGAGUUAAGGUGUUGGGGCCGGUUGCGGGUGCCAGGAAGAAGAAAGAGAAGGAGAGAGAAGAAGGAAGGAGGAAGAAAGAAGAAGAAAGAGGAAGAAAGAAGAAGGAAAAAGAAAAGGAAAAAGGGGGAGGGAAAAGAGAAAGAAAAAGAGGGGGACCGGCGGCGAUUUCGGCACGCGGUCGGAGCACGCGCGCGGCAUCUGACAACGGCACGCGGCGAGAUUUACGGGCACGGAUAGAAAGGUAGGGGUCGGCAUGGGUACCGGGACGGCGAAAUCGCCGGGGAGAUUUCCGAUUUCCGGGAGCUCGGCGGUAAAAAGAUUUUAAAGACGGUUUUUAACGGGUGAUUUUAGUUGGUGAUUUCUGCGGAUGUUACAGGGCGAGACGGAAAGGAUAGGGAGAUUAUGUAGCUUACCUCCAGGUCUACCGGUGAAGCCUUGGGGCCGAACAGGAGUAGGCUGGGGCGGGAAGUCGUACGCGCUAACGCUUGGGCAGCG
Molecule: long non-coding RNA, 532 nt
Filed under: Setaria viridis
Lineage: Eukaryota; Viridiplantae; Streptophyta; Magnoliopsida; Poales; Poaceae
Description: long non-coding RNA (SVIR_LNC000045)
Source: RNAcentral